RNAcentral lists this ribosomal RNA (263 nucleotides) under uncultured bacterium. RNAcentral's name for it is "partial 16S ribosomal RNA". It matches the Rfam family "Bacterial small subunit ribosomal RNA", at positions 335 to 591 of the family's 1533-position model. The record is from RNAcentral.
UGCCUACGGGACGCAGCAGUAGGGAAUCUUCCACAAUGGACGAAAGUCUGAUGGAGCAACGCCGCGUGAGUGAAGAAGGGUUUCGGCUCGUAAAGCUCUGUUGGUAGUGAAGAAAGAUAGAGGUAGUAACUGGCCUUUAUUUGACGGUAAUUACUUAGAAAGUCACGGCUAACUACGUGCCAGCAGCUGCGGUAAUACGUAGGUGGCAAGCGUUAUCCGGAUUUAUUGGGCGUAAAGCGAGCGCAGGCGGUUGCGUUGGUCUG